GGUGGAGACAAGGAGAAACGAAGAAGUUCAAAAGAACGUGACCUCAUUUCAAAAGAAAACGUUUUGUACGGCAAAGAGCGUGAGAGAUGCCAAGGUAGAAUGGACAAGAAUAAAAACACUGAGAAAGAGCAUUACCAAAGCAAAAGGGAACAUGCUCCCUUGUGAAGAAAAGGAGAGUCAAAAAGCAGGUCCUUCCAGCAAGAGGAGGUGUUCUCAGAGCGUGGAAAUUGUUGAGCAAAAGCGUCACAAGCAGGAGCACUGGGAGGGAAGCAGGUGCAGAUCUUUCCCUGGUGAAAGAAACAGCCCUGAGAAUGGCAGAAGAGCAGUCAAAUAUUCAAAGUACAGAUCUGGCAGCGGAGGAAGAUCAGAACAAGGUAGCAAUAGAUAUUACCGAUCCAAAGGGGAAAGAAGUUGGAGCAGAGAAAGAUACUAUCGAGAUGAAGCACGGAGAUGGGAAAGAUGUAGCUAUUACAAUGAUUACUAUUCAGCUCAUGCGACAGGAGACAGUAGAGAGAGAAAGUUCUCUCACGGCGAUGCAGCCUUUGACAAAUGGACUGCAACUUACUAUGGCAGGUCACAUAAGCAUUAUCAUUACAAAAGAGGAUGGCCUCACGGUUCCCUCUUGAGAGAUGAAGAUGUACGUCGCUUUAGCACACCCCGAGCAGACUUGCGUCGUUGCUCGGUAUCUCAGCAACAUUCUGGAAGACAUUCUCGUGAAAGACAUGCGCUUCCACCUGUGUCAGCUCAUUUGGAGAACUGUCGCCAGAAAAAUGAAACAGAAGGAAACAGAAAAAGAAAAUAUACCUGUGCAGAAGGUAGUGAAAGUGAAAUAGAAAGGAAAGACAGAAAGAUAGAGAAGGAGCUUUUAGGUGGUGAAAAAAAUGCAAAACUAUCACAAGUUCUAGAAGAAAAAGAAGUCUAAGGAUAAACAUGGAGAGAAGGAUUCCAAACUUCACGAUUUGUGUUUCUGUGCGCUCCACUUUGACAAUGCCAAUCGCAAGCGUAAAAAAAGAAGAAAAAGGAGAAGAAAAAGAAGAAAAAAGAGAAACACCAGGAAAGUGAAAGGCUCCUUGGAACACUUAGAUCCUCGUUUCCAGAAGAGAACGCGGGAGAAGAAGGAAGAAUCCCAUCCUCCAGAUGGCUCUUCAUGUGAGCAAUGCAGAAGUGAGAGCAGUAAACAACCUUACAAGGAAGGGAAGCCUUCCAGUGCAGGCGAAAGCAAGAAAUACAGCUCCGUCUCAUCCAACGAGUGUAUUAAAGGUAAGCGGCCGC
Non-coding RNA from Anas platyrhynchos (mallard), 1272 nucleotides. NCBI's taxonomy places the organism in Eukaryota, Metazoa, Chordata, Aves, Anseriformes, Anatidae. The record is from RefSeq and is a predicted model, not a curated record.